GCAAGUCGAGGGGUAACAUGAUAGCUUGCUAUCGAUGACGACCGGCGCACGGGUGCGUAACACGUAUGCAACCUACCUCUUACUGGGGCAUAGCCCAGAGAAAUUUGGAUUAAUUCCCCAUAGUACCACGAAGUCGCAUGGUUUUGUGGUUAAAGGUUACGGUAAGAGAUGGGCAUGCGUCCCAUUAGCUAGUUGGUGAGGUAAUAGCUCACCAAGGCAUCGAUGGGUAGGGGUUCUGAGAGGAUGAUC
Molecule: ribosomal RNA, 249 nt
Filed under: uncultured bacterium
Lineage: Bacteria
Description: partial 16S ribosomal RNA
Rfam family: Bacterial small subunit ribosomal RNA
Source: RNAcentral